AAGACUAUACUUUCAGGGAUCAUUUCUAUAGUAAUAAGUUUCUCUGAUCAUGUAGAGCACCGGAAGCCACAAGGAUGAGCCAGAGCAUCCUCUUCUGAGUGUGAAGUUGGCUCUAGGUGUAGCUUCUGCUGACUGCCUUUGGCCAUUGAUGAUCGUUCUCCCUUUUCUCUGGAAAGUGUAGAGGGAAAGGAUGCAGUCUGAGUGGU
Suncus etruscus (white-toothed pygmy shrew) is the source of this 206-nucleotide small nucleolar RNA. RefSeq annotates it as small nucleolar RNA U3. The transcript has a single exon. Lineage: Eukaryota; Metazoa; Chordata; Mammalia; Eulipotyphla; Soricidae. The record is from RefSeq and is a predicted model, not a curated record.